This 738-nucleotide ribosomal RNA is filed under the name Enterobacter hormaechei. Its description in RNAcentral is "bacterial SSU rRNA". It matches the Rfam family "Bacterial small subunit ribosomal RNA", at positions 53 to 781 of the family's 1533-position model. The record is from RNAcentral. Lineage: Bacteria; Pseudomonadati; Pseudomonadota; Gammaproteobacteria; Enterobacterales; Enterobacteriaceae.
ACCAUGCAGUCGACGGUAACAGGAAGCAGCUUGCUGCUUUGCUGACGAGUGGCGGACGGGUGAGUAAUGUCUGGGAAACUGCCUGAUGGAGGGGGAUAACUACUGGAAACGGUAGCUAAUACCGCAUAACGUCGCAAGACCAAAGAGGGGGACCUUCGGGCCUCUUGCCAUCGGAUGUGCCCAGAUGGGAUUAGCUAGUAGGUGGGGUAACGGCUCACCUAGGCGACGAUCCCUAGCUGGUCUGAGAGGAUGACCAGCCACACUGGAACUGAGACACGGUCCAGACUCCUACGGGAGGCAGCAGUGGGGAAUAUUGCACAAUGGGCGCAAGCCUGAUGCAGCCAUGCCGCGUGUAUGAAGAAGGCCUUCGGGUUGUAAAGUACUUUCAGCGGGGAGGAAGGUGUUGUGGUUAAUAACCACAGCAAUUGACGUUACCCGCAGAAGAAGCACCGGCUAACUCCGUGCCAGCAGCCGCGGUAAUACGGAGGGUGCAAGCGUUAAUCGGAAUUACUGGGCGUAAAGCGCACGCAGGCGGUCUGUCAAGUCGGAUGUGAAAUCCCCGGGCUCAACCUGGGAACUGCAUUCGAAACUGGCAGGCUAGAGUCUUGUAGAGGGGGGUAGAAUUCCAGGUGUAGCGGUGAAAUGCGUAGAGAUCUGGAGGAAUACCGGUGGCGAAGGCGGCCCCCUGGACAAAGACUGACGCUCAGGUGCGAAAGCGUGGGGAGCAAACAGGAUUAG